UGUAUCUGAAGCCUGACGAGGAUGAGAACCUCCGGGGGCAAGAGGUUCGACUCGAGCGCAGCGAGAGAACGUUGCUUCAGCAACGGCCCGCAGGGCGAGCCACGCAGUGGCGAGUCAUCCUCUAUCAUCGACCA
RNAcentral lists this small RNA (134 nucleotides) under Salmonella enterica subsp. enterica serovar Tamberma. Its description in RNAcentral is "RtT sRNA". It matches the Rfam family "RtT RNA". Rfam says of the family: This family represents a bacterial cis-regulatory element known as RtT RNA. The exact function of RtT is unknown although it is thought that it may be involved in changing the cellular response in relation to amino acid starvation. The record is from RNAcentral. Lineage: Bacteria; Pseudomonadati; Pseudomonadota; Gammaproteobacteria; Enterobacterales; Enterobacteriaceae.